Molecule: small RNA, 87 nt
Filed under: Gelidibacter algens
Lineage: Bacteria; Pseudomonadati; Bacteroidota; Flavobacteriia; Flavobacteriales; Flavobacteriaceae
Description: Flavo-1 RNA
Rfam family: Flavo-1 RNA
Source: Rfam by way of RNAcentral
CCAUAGCCCUGAUUGCAGCGGCAUCCUUUUUUAGCUUGGAGCGGUAGCGGAAAGUUAAAAAAGAUAUAGCGGAAAGCAGGAAUCAGC